ACAAAAUUUCAGACAAUUUGGUUUAGUUUAAGCCCCUUAACUAUUCACGCAAAGUUACAAUUUUCCCGAAAAAUCAGCUAUUUGCAUGCUUAAUUAAUGCAUUUGCCUAAUUUGCAUAUGUCAGCAAUAUGCAAAUUAGGUAUAAAGGCAUAAUUAAGCAUGCGAAUGGCUGACUUUUUAGAACAAAAUGAAUAGUUAAAGGCUUAAACUAAACCAAAUUGUCUGAAAUUUUGUACAGUAAUGAAAAACCCGAC
Molecule: long non-coding RNA, 254 nt
Filed under: Paramuricea clavata
Lineage: Eukaryota; Metazoa; Cnidaria; Anthozoa; Malacalcyonacea; Plexauridae
Source: RNAcentral